This 215-nucleotide unclassified non-coding RNA is filed under the name Hevea brasiliensis (rubber tree). Lineage: Eukaryota; Viridiplantae; Streptophyta; Magnoliopsida; Malpighiales; Euphorbiaceae. The record is from RNAcentral.
CCCCUGGGUACAUGAACCACUCGGUGUUCCUGUUCAGAUCCGCCGGCGGAACCGCCUUCACAUAGAGAUUCGCCAUAUCACGUAUCUGAUCUUAUUGUAUCCCCGAGCUGAUGAUUCAACGAGCUCUUGUGAUUUGGGAAAUAAAAUUCUCCAGAAACUGUGUGAUUUGAGAAUCCAAUUCCAAACCCUGUCCCAGAUUGUGCUUUGCCCUUCUG